RNAcentral lists this ribosomal RNA (422 nucleotides) under uncultured bacterium. RNAcentral's name for it is "bacterial SSU rRNA". It matches the Rfam family "Bacterial small subunit ribosomal RNA", at positions 9 to 436 of the family's 1533-position model. The record is from RNAcentral.
GAGUUUGAUCCUGGCUCAGAUUGAACGCUGGCGGCAGGCCUAACACAUGCAAGUCGAGCGCGAAAACACUUCGGUGUGAGUAAAGCGGCGGACGGGUGAGUAACGCGUAGGAAUCUACCUAGUAGUGGGGGACAACUCGGGGAAACUCGAGCUAAUACCGCAUACGCCCUACGGGGGAAAGCGGGGGACCUUCGGGCCUCGUGCUAUUAGAUGAGCCUGCGUUGGAUUAGCUAGUUGGUGGGGUAAAGGCCUACCAAGGCGACGAUCCAUAGCUGGUCUGAGAGGAUGAUCAGCCACACCGGGACUGAGACACGGCCCGGACUCCUACGGGAGGCAGCAGUGGGGAAUAUUGCGCAAUGGGCGAAAGCCUGACGCAGCCAUGCCGCGUGUGUGAAGAAGGCCUUCGGGUUGUAAAGCACUUU